Molecule: ribosomal RNA, 256 nt
Filed under: uncultured bacterium
Lineage: Bacteria
Description: partial 16S ribosomal RNA
Rfam family: Bacterial small subunit ribosomal RNA
Source: RNAcentral
UACGAAGGGGGGCUAGCGUUGCUCGGAAUCACUGGGCGUAAAGGGUGCGUAGGCGGGUCUUUAAGUCAGGGGUGAAAUCCUGGAGCUCAACUCCAGAACUGCCUUUGAUACUGAGAUCUUGAGUUCGGGAGAGGUGAGUGGAACUGCGAGUGUAGAGGUGAAAUUCGUAGAUAUUCGCAAGAACACCAGUGGCGAAGGCGGCUCACUGGCCCGAUACUGACGCUGAGGCACGAAAAGCGUGGGGGAGCAAACAGGA